RNAcentral lists this ribosomal RNA (429 nucleotides) under Bacteroidota bacterium. Its description in RNAcentral is "Bacteroidetes bacterium partial 16S ribosomal RNA". It matches the Rfam family "Bacterial small subunit ribosomal RNA", at positions 355 to 776 of the family's 1533-position model. Lineage: Bacteria; Pseudomonadati; Bacteroidota. The record is from RNAcentral.
UAGGGAAUCUUCGGCAAUGGGGGGAACCCUGACCGAGCAACGCCGCGUGAGUGAAGAAGGUUUUCGGAUCGUAAAGCCCUGUUGUUAAGGAAGAACGAGUGUGAGAAUGGAAAGUUCAUGCUGUGACGGUACUUAACCAGAAAGGGACGGCUAACUACGUGCCAGCAGCCGCGGUAAUACGUAGGUCCCGAGCGUUGUCCGGAUUUAUUGGGCGUAAAGCGAGCGCAGGCGGUUAGAAAAGUCUGAAGUGAAAGGCAGUGGCUCAACCAUUGUAGGCUUUGGAAACUGUUUAACUUGAGUGCGGAAGGGGAGAGUGGAAUUCCUUGUGUAGCGGUGAAAUGCGUGGAUAUAUGGAGGAACACCGGUUGGGAAAGCGACUCUCUGGUAUGUAACUGACGCUGAGGCUCGAAAGCGUGGGUAGCAAACAGG